CGAUGGGGAUGCGUUCCAUUAGGUUGUUGGCGGGGUAACGGCCCACCAAGCCUUCGAUGGAUAGGGGUUCUGAGAGGAAGGUCCCCCACAUUGGAACUGAGACACGGUCCAAACUCCUACGGGAGGCAGCAGUGAGGAAUAUUGGUCAAUGGACGAGAGUCUGAACCAGCCAAGUAGCGUGAAGGAUGACUGCCCUAUGGGUUGUAAACUUCUUUUAUACGGGAAUAAAGUGAGGCACGUGUGCCUUUUUGUAUGUACCGUAUGAAUAAGGAUCGGCUAACUCCGUGCCAGCAGCCGCGGUAAUACGGAGGAUCCGAGCGUUAUCCGGAUUUAUUGGGUUUAAAGGGAGCGUAGGCGGACGCUUAAGUCAGUUGUGAAAGUUUGCGGCUCAACCGUAAAAUUGCAGUUGAUACUGGGUGUCUUGAGUACAGUAGAGGCAGGCGGAAUUCGUGGUGUAGCGGUGAAAUGCUUAGAUAUCACGAAGAACUCCGAUUGCGAAGGCAGCUUGCUGGA
RNAcentral lists this ribosomal RNA (513 nucleotides) under uncultured Bacteroidales bacterium. RNAcentral's name for it is "bacterial SSU rRNA". It matches the Rfam family "Bacterial small subunit ribosomal RNA", at positions 223 to 733 of the family's 1533-position model. The record is from RNAcentral. Lineage: Bacteria; Pseudomonadati; Bacteroidota; Bacteroidia; Bacteroidales.